This 499-nucleotide ribosomal RNA is filed under the name uncultured Desulfobulbus sp. RNAcentral describes it as "bacterial SSU rRNA". It matches the Rfam family "Bacterial small subunit ribosomal RNA", at positions 888 to 1382 of the family's 1533-position model. The record is from RNAcentral. Lineage: Bacteria; Pseudomonadati; Thermodesulfobacteriota; Desulfobulbia; Desulfobulbales; Desulfobulbaceae.
GCCCGCUCAGAACUUAAAGGAAUUGACGGGGCCCGCACAAGCGGUGGAGUAUGUGGUUUAAUUCGAUGCAACGCGAAGAACCUUACCUGGUCUUGACAUCCCGGAGACCCUUAGGAAACUAGGGGGUGCUUCCAUCUGGAAGAAUCUGGAGACAGGUGCUGCAUGGCUGUCGUCAGCUCGUGUCGUGAGAUGUUGGGUUAAGUCCCGCAACGAGCGCAACCCUUGCCUUUAGUUGCCAGCAGUUCGGCUGGGCACUCUAAAGGGACUGCCGGUGUUAAACCGGAGGAAGGUGGGGAUGACGUCAAGUCCUCAUGGCCUUUAUGACCAGGGCUACACACGUACUACAAUGGCCGAUACAAAGGGCAGCGACACUGCGAGGUGAAGCCAAUCCCGUAAAAUCGGUCUCAGUCCGGAUUGGAGUCUGCAACUCGACUCCAUGAAGUUGGAAUCGCUAGUAAUCGUGGAUCAGCAUGCCACGGUGAAUACGUUCCCGGGCCUU